Molecule: long non-coding RNA, 1216 nt
Filed under: Nicotiana benthamiana
Lineage: Eukaryota; Viridiplantae; Streptophyta; Magnoliopsida; Solanales; Solanaceae
Description: long non-coding RNA (NBEN_LNC023541)
Source: RNAcentral
UGAAAAACAGUUUGGAAACCAAACAUAUGGUGUGUUCUCUUAAUUAUUAGAUAGAAGAUGACACAAAACAAAGUAGAAAUAACAAGCACAUUAAGGGCUUAUGCAUACAACAUAAACAUUAUCCUGAUUACUUAUCGACUUCGUUCUCCUCUUGAAUUUAUCGAGAAUUAGAGAUGUUGGUUAUGAAAAGCAGAAUUAUAUCUGAUAAGCUAAAACAUAGCAAAGCUGGAAAAUUUGAUACUGCAACAAAAAGGACAAUCUUGCUGUUUUAACAUGAUAGUUAAACCUUAAUGUAAACCCCUCCAUUGUCAAAUGAGCAUGCAAAAAGUUACUCAGAUCAUCUACUCAUCUUAUGUUCAGAAACUAAACUGAGAUAUACAGUAAACAAAAUAAAUCUCAAGUACGAGAAUCUGCUCAAAAAAUAUAUCGAGAGAGACAGAGAAUAUGCCCUCUGCACAAACACAAGCAACCGUUCAUUAGAAGCACCAAAACAUGUCCACGGAAGCAGAUAAAUUCCUGUGCAAACAUCAGAGUAAUGUCAGUUUGGUAUUAUGAGGCAAUAUAAGAAAUUGAUGCAAAGCCAUAAACUGAUGUCUUGUGCCAUCUAUAAUUAAUUCUAUUUUGUGUGUGUGUGUUUGGGGCGGUCGGAUCCUUGAUACCAACCACUCCUACUGUGGCAAAUAAAUUAAAACCUGAAAAUAACAACAUAUUUCUGCAUCAAGAGUUCAGUAAGCAUCCGCUUGAGUUACCUCCUUAAGCGAUAAGUACUGAUAAAUCGGAGUCUCUGUAGUCAUAAUCAAGGAGAUAGAUGACAUAAACCCUUUUCCAGAAUUAGAGCAGCUUUACCAAAAUGUAAAGCAUAGAAAGAAGAGCAAACAAUAAUACUAGAUGAGUUCACUCUGAGAUUCAGAGAAGAAGGAAACAUAUAAAACUUUGUUUUGAAGACUUCAUAUGCCCUAACUUCUUCCCACCAUCUUAUAAUGCCGAAUUGACAUAAAUCCAAGUAUAAUAUGUAAGCCUAACUCCUUUUCACGCAAUACAGUUUACCACGAUGUAUUUUCUGAUGAAGUAAUCACUGCAUAUUUCACCAGGAAGGAAGAAUUACCAUUCACAAGACUACGGAUCAGUGGCAUCCAUCUUAUUGAAUCAAAUACGGGGACCAAAUUGACAAAUCACUUUGAAAAAAAUAUAAAUAUGAACAAGAAAACCCGGGAAU